Molecule: long non-coding RNA, 1022 nt
Organism: Rhineura floridana
Lineage: Eukaryota; Metazoa; Chordata; Lepidosauria; Squamata; Rhineuridae
Exons: 6
Source: RefSeq, a predicted model, not a curated record
UAACGUUUGUUCCUUCUAACGAGCAUUUGUGAUUCAUUUCAACUCUUGCGAAUAUUACAAGAAGUCCCUCACAUGUGUCUCUAAGAAGAAAAGCCAUGUGACUGGGAGGGGGGUCUGCCCGUGUUCAAGCCCCUGCUAGGAAGGCUCCCACUCCAUCAGUCCUUGAAGGCCACCCUGACACAGCCUUAACCAGCUUGGAUGCAGCCAAUACACUGCAAGCUUCAUCUCUGUGUUUCGUACAUUUUCAAAACUACAUCUGAACAAACCACAAGUAUAAAACUGGGAAAGUGCAGUGGAACACGUACCCUGAGUAGGAGGACUUUUAUUAAUGGAGACCCAUGCUUCCUGCUCAUCACAUUGGCAAUCGUCAAAACCAACAUAUAAAAGAACAGAUUAGAGUUAAUGACAUUAGUAUCCCUCUUCUUUCAUCUUAAAAACAGCUUGGAUGCAGCCAAUACACUGCAAGCUUCAUCUCUGUGUUUCGUACAUUUUCAAAACUACAUCUGAGCAAACCGCAAGUGUAAAAGUGAGGAAGUUGCAGUGGAACACGUACCCUGAGUAGGAGGACUUUUAUUAAUGGAGACCCAUGCUUCCUGCUCAUCACAUUGGCAAUCAAGUCAAAACCAACAUAUAAAGGAACAGAUUAGUGUUAAUGACAUUAGGGUCAUGGUGGUGAUGGCGGUGGUGGGAAGAGCGUCUGAGGAACCCACCAAGAUGUCCAGGCUGCGAGGCUGACUCCAGCACCUGCCACCCUCCUUCCCCUUUCUCCUCCACUCCAAGGCCAUGCAGGAGGGCCCUGCGGCCCAGCAGGAACAGAUGAGCAGCAAUAGUAAGAAGUGAGCACUCACAACAGCCACCCAGAGACACAAAGAGGACUGAGUACCUGAGCAUUAAAAAAGACUCAGUGCCUUAUAUAUGUGCUAAGCCUCUACAGUCAAUUACCCUUGAAUGGCAUUACAGUGAGGAAGGGCAGGAUAUCAAUCAAUCAAUCAAUCAAUCAGGAAAGAAAGAAAGAAAGAAAG